RNAcentral lists this ribosomal RNA (274 nucleotides) under uncultured bacterium. Its description in RNAcentral is "partial 16S ribosomal RNA". It matches the Rfam family "Bacterial small subunit ribosomal RNA", at positions 523 to 796 of the family's 1533-position model. The record is from RNAcentral.
AUACGGAGGGUGCAAGCGUUAUUCGGAAUCACUGGGCGUAAAGGACGCGUAGGCGGGUUGGCAAGUCAGAUGUGAAAUCCUACAGCUUAACUGUAGAACUGCAUUUGAAACUGCUAACCUAGAGUAUGGGAGGGGGAGAUGGAAUUAGUGGUGUAGGGGUAAAAUCCGUAGAUAUCACUAGGAAUACCAAAAGCGAAGGCGAUCUCCUGGAACAUAACUGACGCUAAGGCGUGAAAGCGUGGGGAGCAAACAGGAUUAGAAACCCUAGUAGUCC